AUGGGCCGAGGUUGCAUCACGGGGGCCAUCCACGGUCCCAUGUCCUUUGUGUCCGGAAUUCUAAUUUCGGCCACUUUGACGUCCGAUGGACACUGGCCCACGUAUAAAAGCGCCCGGUUACUCAUCAUCUCCAAUCACUUGUCUGUGCUCGCUUCACUGGAUUACUCCACCUACAACAACCCAUCAAUCACCAUGAAAUUCCAAGUCGCGUUGGUGUUCGCCCUUUUCGCUAUCUUCUCCGUCUUCGCAGCAGAGACGAGGGAACAAGCCCGGGAUAAGCGAGGCGUUCUGGCUGCCUACCCAUACGCCUAUUCCUACCCAUACGCCGCCUACGCACCUGCAGCUAGCUACGCCUAUGCACCAACCGCCGCCUACGUAGCCGCCCCGGCCGCCUAUCGCGCUAGCUAUGUCGCACCUGCAGCUUACGCUGCUUACCCUGCUUACUACUGAGCAGCCUAGUAAAAAUGUUCAACAAAACUCCGAUUCGGGUCUUUCGACCUUUACUCUUGGAGUAUGUGCAAUCUACCCCCCCCCCCCUCCUUCUCUCCCAGCCAUAGUUACAGGUGAGAGUAUCCUAUCCUGCCUGUACAACCCCUAUUCCCCGGUGAAAAAGAUGCUUCAACAUGGGAUGCACCUUUUUUUAUCCUUUUAAGUUUUGCCAAUCUUGAGUGCCUUUUCUCCAAUGUACCAUAUCUUCAUGAAAUCAGCCUAUCGUUUGCCCCUCGAGUCUCCGGUUCAUUUUUACUCAUUGAUAGGUAGCCAGUCACUGAAAAAUUUCAACAUCUCUUGAUUUCAGUAUCAUUUGUCCCCUAGAAUAUACUAGUAAAGUCACAAUUAUAGGAAACAAGCUAUUUUCUUUCCUCCACAUUUUUUCGAUCUCUUAUUUAGCCAUCAAAUCUGGCCAUUCUAUGAUUUCGAUCUUUCGCUCUCUCUCUCUUGUUGCAGAGGGCUAAAGUGUGCCCUUUUUGCUGUCAAGUUUGGUUUAUUGUGUUCUUUGAUUGGCAAAGUUAUUCGAAAUCCUCGGUCAGACUUGUCAAAAAAAGAACAUUGUUUUCCUCACACUGGCAGUGAAAAAAUUUCAAGGAGUGUUUCUGAAAACUGUGCUAUUUUAGAAGGGAGCAGGUUUUCUACGAAAAUUACUCUUUUUUUGAAAUAGUAUGGUUUUGAUUAUUUUUUCCGGUACAGAGUGAAGAAAGCCCAAAUUUACGGCUUGGGUUCAAACUGACUACGUUCUUCAUUGCAAUAUUUUUAGUGAGACAUUUUCUAAAAUGUAACUUACAAGAGACCGAUUGAAAUUUGGAGGAGAAUUGAAUUAGCUAUAAAACAUGUGAUCAAAGAAUCUCGUAUUUUUAUUUUUAUGACCAAAUGUUACCAGUGUUAAAUAUUUGUUUUUCUGAAUUGUGUUAAAAUUUAAAAAAAAAUAAAAAUGUAAAUAAUUGUAUUCAGCACAAAUGUAGUAAUUUCUGACUUACCUACUUGAUCCAAUUUCAAAACUUAAGAAUCAAUGAGGAAUAAUGAUAAAAUCAACCAUGUACGAAAGAUAAACUAGUGUCACAAAGUCCUUUACAAAAGAAUAGUUGCUUCAUAACGCGCGAAAAAUUUUCAGGUUUUGAAAAUUAUUCUUAUCAUUCCUUUUUUAAAGAACUUAAAGUAAACAAAGACUGGGAAAAAUGAACCCAAAAAAUUACAAAGCUGCUGCUCAGAUUGUUCGGCUUUUUCUGUCUUGCAAAAGAGGCUUAUAAAUUAGUCAGUUCUUAUUUCUACAAUUAAAUACGAAAUUGAAAUAGAAAAGUUAUUUUUGCGAUAAUGCAUUCCGUCGCAGCUUUCACAUAAUUUGGAUUUAUUUUUGCCAAAAGGAACUAUAUCUCACGCGAACCCUAUGCAUUUAGUUUCUUUUAGCAUAAAUACGUCCAUUUAUGCCUCUGCAGACAAAAUUGAACCAUAUUUCCAGAGUUGGCGCAUUUUGCAGUUCCUCUCUGCUGAACUUGUUACCGAUUUUACUCUCAAAAAUAAUGUAGGGUCUUCCAAAAAUUCUAUAAUUGUUGAAAACGUUUGAUUAAACUAAAAUCUUGAACUUAGUUUUUGAGGCCGGUUUAAAAAAAAUCCAGCAUUAAGAAUAAGUCAUCAUUUUUGACACUAAAGUAAUGCCAACUAAAUUAUUCAGUUUCAUAUGAUCUGCAUAAGAUUGAGAUACCGGUGCUGAACAAAGUCAUCUCAGUUAGUGGAUUUGCAGCUUUUUUGAUUUAUUUAAUAUUUUUAAAGAAAAUCAGUCUCAAGCGUACCUUGAAACUACCGUACGCAUUAUAUUCAUUUUCUUCAAGGAGCAUCUUCCAAAAUUUCACCUCAAAUUAUAUUUUCGAAAAUGCAAUUAAGUAGGAAUUUCAGGGUUUGUCGCUGAGAAUAUAUAUUUUAAUAAUUGAUCAUUAGGAUAUUAAAGAGUAUCUAUAACGAAUUUUUUCCAUUUUUAGGGCGCGUUUUUAAAUGAAAGACAAGAACCACCACUACGUUGGACUGACACAUAAGAUUAUUUCUUUAAACUGCAAUCAUCAUCUGAAACUAUUUGUUUACGUAAAGAAUUGAUUUAAAACGUGUAGCAGCAUUAAUACCGAGUAAUAUGGAAUCAAAUCUGUGAAAAUUGAUGAAAUUUCACUUGGAAAAUUAGGAAAACUGAUAUUACUCGCUGACUCAGUGUGAAAGAGAGUUAUAUUAUACAGGUAUCUCUCUUUUACCCAUUAUGCCAAUAAAAGACAUUUCCGUUUCCCUAAUUUUUGACGAAUUCUUCACAAAUUUGAUAUCAUUAAACUCAGUAUUAAUAUUGUGCAUGUUAUGGACCAGUUUCUACCAUGAAUUCUUAGAUUACAAUUAUUAUUGCUUGUCAAUGAUACUAACUGUGCAGCAGCGCAAUGCAAAGGCUGGUCUUGUACCAAGAUCACCUAGAUCUUAAGUCAUGGCUGAAGAUUAUACGGACGUAUUUAUGCUAAAAGGAAGCAGAGACUUGUGAGAGAAAUGGGGUACUCGUACUGAGCUGCAUAAGAAACAAUUUAAGAGUGGGGGUGAUUCCUUUUGGCAAAAUGGAAAAGUGGGAUUUGUCAUCAAAUUAAGAGAAGCUAAGCGCCAAAAUAUGCUAACUCUUAAGCCGUGGGCACAUGACAAGAUCGUUUUGAAUAGGGCGCAUGAGUUUAGGAGCGUUCCCGUCCCGUGUUGGUCCCUAAUCCCCAUCGUUGACGCCGACGUCACAGGCGCUUUAUAAUUCCCAUCCAUUCUCACGGUCCUCAACUAACGAGCACACUCCUUCUUUUCCACCCGUCAUUCGUUCCUUUUAGCAUACAUCGUCACCUUCCGGCCAAGGUAUCACAAGCGCCAUGCUACGUUUCAAAAAUCCCGCCGCCACAAUUUUAUUUUUUACAGAAAAAUUGUUCAACGAAGCAGUCCGAAAAUUUCACUGAAUUUUCUUUGCGCUGCCGAUACUGAAAUUUUCAAACAGGUUCAACCAACAAUUUUUCUGUAAUAAAUUAAAAUGGCGGCGAAAAUUUUGAAACGUCGCAUUGCGCUUGUGAUACUUUGCGGAAGGUGACGCAAGAUGUCCACAUCUAAGAUGUCGAGACGCGUUCCGAUGAUAAAAUCAUGGUGCAAAAGAGUACGGUUUGAUUCCAAUUUUUGGUUUUAAUUUUCGGAUCACUUAGAUUCACUUCAAUGUUCUCUGUAGAGCUAGAACCUGACAACUAGGGAGACUGCUGUGAGGAAAUUAGAUUACUACGACAGGUAGAAAGCCACCGGAGCACGCUUUGAUCCUCUCGUCAUGGUGGAAUAUUCGCUUGCUGUGGUCAGAGCGCGACGCGGAAAGCCGAGGAAUGCAAAAUAUUGAGAACAGGAUAUUGAAUUUGGAAGAUGUCUGACCGGUCCGGUCCGAGUCGCAACUCGGGGUUUAUUUUUGAUCUUCCCUUAGCUUUAAAACUUCGAUCGACAACGCGGCUAUCUUGGGCGAGGCGAGGGUUGAAUCUUUCUCGAUGCACUUUCAAGGUAAUUUAUCGUCAUUCCUGCUGGAAAAACAGCAGUCUUCCGCGUGGCCUUUUGAACGCUCCGUGCAGGAAAAUACUAAAAAAAUAUUUGUGACUGUCCACCGAGAGAGACUUUGGUCUACAAAAACUUGAAAGUUGGUUACCACUACUACAUCAAAGCUUAAAAAAUUGUUCAACACACUUUUUGAAAUAGAAAACGAUAUAAAUGUCAAACCAAAGAACGAUGAUGGUUCGAGGUUUUGAUUUUGGAGUUGACAAGUCGCUUUUGGGGAGAAAAAAGUUGGAACGUCAAAUAUUGCCAAAAGGAGGAUCCCAGGAGAAUGUCUUGAUGAGAAUGAACGUUGUAUUUGUCAAAGUUGUAUGUGAGAAGCAACAAACUGACAUCACUGGCACGUGUGUAGCUUGAUAAAUUGAAAAUAUUGAAAACUAUCAAUUAAACUAUGGUUAUCGCAUUCCUACCAACAGGGGUCACGACAAAGAUUUAGCGAUGAAUCUUAUACUGUUUACACAAUUGCUAUAACAGUGACCAGGAAUCUGAUUUUCAAGUAAUUUUAAUGUAUUCAUUGAAUUUUGAUCAAAAUUUAUUUUAGACGAUAACAGUUAUGUCUGCUUGCGGAGCAAAGAAACGAGAAAUAGCUCUUUCCCUCUUCUCAUGGGAAUGAAACUAAUUUUAAUGAUGGCAUUUUGUUGUCGUUCUUAUAUCAAUUAACAUCAAUCAGCAUGGCACCGUAGCUAAUCAAUCUAUCACUCUAAAUCUCAGUGUGAUUAGCAUCAAUCAGUGCUGUCGUUAUCUUGAUCGCCAAAGGGGUUUUAGUGCACCCCCUAGCCCCUGUCCCAUCUAAAUAGCGCAUCUCUGACUUUAAGUCCCCCAAAAUAUCAAGUAAAAUUCACACUAUAUAAAACAAUCCAUACCAAACUCAACGACCAACAUUCUUUUUUGUGCUCCAAUUUGAAUCCUUAUAGCCUCUAAGCAACCCGACCAAACACCAUCAUGAAAUUCCAA
Molecule: long non-coding RNA, 5022 nt
Filed under: Bemisia tabaci
Lineage: Eukaryota; Metazoa; Arthropoda; Insecta; Hemiptera; Aleyrodidae
Description: lncRNA ENSSSA1UGG011967
Source: RNAcentral